GAUGAACGCUGGCGGCGUGCCUAAUACAUGCAAGUCGAGCGAACAGACGAGGCGCUUGCUCCUCUGACGUUAGCGGCGGACGGGUGAGUAACACGUGGAUAACCUACCUCUAAGACUGGGAUAACUUCGGGGAACCGGAGCGAAUACCGGAUAAUAUAUUGAACCGCAUGGUUCAAUAGUGAAAGACGGUUUUGCUGUCACUUAUAGAUGGAUCCGCGCCGCAUUAGCUAGUUGGUAAGGUAACGGCUUACCAAGGCAACGAUGCGUAGCCGACCUGAGAGGGUGAUCGGCCACACUGGAACUGAGACACGGUCCAGACUCCUACGGGAGGCAGCAGUAGGGAAUCUUCCGCAAUGGGCGAAAGCUUGACGGAGCAACGCCGCGUGAGUGAUGAAGGUCUUCGGAUCGUAAAACUCUGUUAUUAGGGAAGAACAAAUGUGUAAGUAACUAUGCACGUCUUGACGGUACCUAAUCAGAAAGCCACGGCUAACUACGUG
Molecule: ribosomal RNA, 497 nt
Filed under: uncultured bacterium
Lineage: Bacteria
Description: partial 16S ribosomal RNA
Rfam family: Bacterial small subunit ribosomal RNA
Source: RNAcentral